UGAGGCUAAGUACAGCUUCCACAUGCAGGUUAAUGACUUCAAAGUCUAUGUUCUACACAGCCAGUUUCAAGCUCCUCAUCCUUUUGUGUCUCAAACUAUCAUGACAGAGCUUCAUGAGAGCCACACAGCAGGAGUGGAAACGUUCCUUCUCCUACUGAGGAGAUCAGGAAGUGAACUUCCACCUUUGGAUGAUUGUGAUCAUGAGCCCGCCCACUCAUGGACUUGGUCCUCUGCAGCACCUGCUCCUCAUCCCAUCCACCAUGCACAAUGAGGUGGUGAGUAGUCUUGACUGGUAAAGAUCUGGAGAGGAGAUCGUGAGUGUGGUUUAUAAGAGUUCUUGUCAUUCUUCACCGGAGGUCUGUCCAGACUUUUCUUACAGAAUCCAGCUGAAUUCCCUGUAUAAGAAAGGAUAUUUAUUAUUAUGUUAAAUUACAUGAUGGGGCUGAGGAGUCCAGCAAUAGCUGACUGGGCUCUGGAGAGCCAGAGAACCUGGUAGCUACUAAAUCGAUGCCUCAGCAGCCUCAAAGCCUUGUUGGAAGUCUGGGAAAGACCAAGGUAUUCAGUUCCUGUUGGAAGGCUGAAGAAGAAGCUGCUGGCAGCAGAGGAUGGCACCAGCUGCAGAUGCCCUCUCUCAGAGACAAGCAAGGGAUGAGAACUAAGUCAGAUCAGCGCCUCAACCUCAGCAUGCUAUCUAACUGGAUCCUGUGAGGAUGGAAAAUGAGGAAAUGGACACUCAGGGCUAAAGUCACAAAUUAAACAGAUUGUAAAGCCUGGCCCGUGAUCUCAGCUUCAGUCGUGCUCCAGCCAAGAAAGUUCCAGCUGCAUCAUCACAGAACAGCUCUUCUGAGCGUGCGGAGGCAAUUUGGAGCCUCCAGAUGUCUCCGGCUGAGCUCAAGAAGUGGAUUCAUCUUCUGUAGAUUGGAUUCGGUAAAGAAAAUGCCAGAAAAAUGCUAGUGCCAUCCUAAGAUUUGGGGUGAUUUUAGCAGCUGAGCUUGAUGACCUAAGUGCUUAUCUGUUACUGUUCUAGGGCCUCUUUAAAGACACUGAAUUGGCCACUACCACUUUAAGCACUAAAUACUUUUUCAAUACAACAGCAGAGCAGACUGGACUAACCAUGUUACUCUAGCCUGAAGCACAUGUUCCCGAUUCUUUUCAAUAUUCACUUUGCAACCCUGUUUUUAACAGUCUGGCAGCAGGUAGGAUACAGCUUUAUAGGCAGUCCUUUCAUUUUAUGGAGCCUUCCAUCUGAAAUAUUAGAGAGCUGGGAUUAGCGAUUUCACAGACACGAUUUCCAUCAUUCAUAAAUCUUUUAUCUUAAAAUUGAAGGCAUUAUCUUUAAAUGUGUUCCACAAAUCUUCCGUGGGAAUAGAAGGUCCUUUAUGCACUCUAUUUGAGGUGACUGGAUGUAGGAGACUUUAUGAAGUUGUUGGACCAUUAACUCUAGAUUUUGAUUUUUUUCUUCAUUAAAGUAAAAAUGAUGCAAUGAAUGUUUCGAAAGUGUGAUAGGGAAACUGGUGUCACCAAGGUAGUCCAGGUCUCCCGGCAGACUCCUAACUAUUUAAAAGCCAAAAAUAUGAAGGGUGUGCCAAAUGAGGAGUGCUUUAAUUUUUAUUUACAUUCUGCUUUCGGGGUGGCUGUGAUGACAGCCUCACCAAGACGGGUGAUCGGUAAAGAAGGUGUCCCGUCAGCAGAUCCCUCCAGGGCUCUGAUUCAAUCUUUGAGUUAUGAGAUGAGGACAAAAUGAACUAUUUUUCAAGCUUGUAAAUACGUGACAAAUGGCAGUGCAGGAACUAUUGAUUCCAAUCAUGAUGACACAAUGCUUCAUAGUCAAGCCCGACUCUGCCGUUACAGAUGGCAUGCAAGCUGAGCAGCGAACCCCUGCCUGACAGGUUUCCAACUGCAUCCGCCUCUGCGAAGAUUCCUGGCCACGUUUACCUCCAACCCAAGUAAAUUCUAAAAGAGAAAUGGACUUCAUUUUAUUUUUACAGUAAAAGAAUGUUGUUGAGUGACUGUCAAUACAGAACAAAACAGAGAAGCAGAAGCCUUCCAAGAUCCCAAUGCUUGUGUGCUCAUUCAUCUACUUUUUAGUUUCCUCAUCAUGUAACAGAUAUCAUUGCAAAAUACCUUUCAGGCAUAUGAAGCUUGAAAGAGUGAAUGAUCUGUAGGUACUGUCUAGUUCACGGACAGAUCCUAUUGAAACGUAUCUGAAGACAAAAAGCUCAGGAGGGUAGAAUUUGAGACAGGUCAGUGUUGAUGCACUCCUGUUUUGAGCAAGUAGAUGCUGUUAAUUGGGGGAGAACCAAUUAAUAAUGACAGGUGUUCACAUGGAAAGAUAUAUUCUCUUCUUUUCCUUAAAGAAUUUUAAAACUA
This is a non-coding RNA of Myodes glareolus (Bank vole), 2370 nucleotides long. The record is from RefSeq and is a predicted model, not a curated record. NCBI's taxonomy places the organism in Eukaryota, Metazoa, Chordata, Mammalia, Rodentia, Cricetidae.